GAGAUGACUCUCGGCAACGGAUAUCUAGGCUCUUGCCACGAUGAAGAACGUAGCCAAAUGCGAUACUUGGUGUGAAUUGCAGAAUCCCGUGAACCAUCAAGUUUUUGAACGCAAGUUGCSCCCGAGGCCACCAGGCCAAGGGCACGCCUGCCUGGGCGUCACGC
Molecule: ribosomal RNA, 164 nt
Filed under: Illicium verum
Lineage: Eukaryota; Viridiplantae; Streptophyta; Magnoliopsida; Austrobaileyales; Schisandraceae
Description: 5.8S ribosomal RNA
Rfam family: 5.8S ribosomal RNA
About the family: 5.8S ribosomal RNA (5.8S rRNA) is a component of the large subunit of the eukaryotic ribosome. It is transcribed by RNA polymerase I as part of the 45S precursor that also contains 18S and 28S rRNA.
Source: RNAcentral